UUUAUUUCAGACAUAAUAAUUUUAAAAGGUAUCAUUUGUGACAUGAUUAUCAAAGAUAUUAAUGGUUCUGUUGAUUUUAACUUCAACAAAUCAUUUUUAUUUAAGGGUAGACGUUUUAAAAGACAACAAAUCAUUUUAGACAUAAUAAUAAUCGAUUACACAAUUUAUAAUAAUCGAUUACACAAUUUCUCUGAUUUAUCUUCUUGACAAUAAAUCCUAGUUUGUUGUGACAUAACAAUUUGAUAUGGAU
This 250-nucleotide long non-coding RNA is filed under the name Lathyrus oleraceus (garden pea). RNAcentral's name for it is "Pisum sativum (pea) long non-coding RNA (PSAT_LNC003198)". Lineage: Eukaryota; Viridiplantae; Streptophyta; Magnoliopsida; Fabales; Fabaceae. The record is from RNAcentral.